RNAcentral lists this ribosomal RNA (1234 nucleotides) under uncultured Morganella sp. Its description in RNAcentral is "bacterial SSU rRNA". It matches the Rfam family "Bacterial small subunit ribosomal RNA", at positions 273 to 1502 of the family's 1533-position model. The record is from RNAcentral. Lineage: Bacteria; Pseudomonadati; Pseudomonadota; Gammaproteobacteria; Enterobacterales; Morganellaceae.
GCAACGAUAUCCCUUAAGAUGUUUCGAAGGGAGGUAUCAGCCACCUUGGAGCUGGAACGACUAGAUCUAACCGAAGCAACGAUUGAUAUUGCACCAUUGGGCGGCAUGCCUUGAUGCAGCCAUGCGCGCGGUAGAAAGAAAGCUUCGGGUGUUAAGUUCUUCAGUCCGGGAGGAGGGGGUGGUAAGUUAAUAACCUAUCCAUUACGUUACCGACAGAAGAAGCACCGGGCUACUCCGUGCCAGCAGCCGCGGUAUACGAGGGGUGCAAGCGUUAAUCGGAAUUACUGGGCGUAAAGCGCACGCAGGCGGUUGAUUGAGUCAGAUGUGGAAAUCCCCGGGCUUAAACCCGGGAAUUGCAUCUGAUACUGGUCAGCUAGAGUCUUGUAGAGGGGGGUAGAAUUCCAUGUGUAGCGGUGAAAUGCGUAGAGAUGUGGAGGAAUACCGGUGGCGAAGGCGGCCCCCUGGGCAAAGACUGACGCUCAGGUGCGAAAGCGUGGGGAGCAAACAGGAUUAGAUACCCUGGUAGUCCACGCUGUAAACGAUGUCAACUUGGAGGUUGUGCCCUUGAGGCGUGGCUUCCGGAGCUAACGCGUUAAGUCGACCGCCUGGGGAGUACGGCCGCAAGGUUAAAACUCAAAUGAAUUGACGGGGGCCCGCACAAGCGGUGGAGCAUGUGGUUUAAUUCGAUGCAACGCGAAGAACCUUACCUACUCUUGACAUCCAGAGAACUUAGCAGAGAUGCCUUGGUGCCUUCGGGAACUCUGAGACAGGUGCUGCAUGGCUGUCGUCAGCUCGUGUUGUGAAAUGUUGGGUUAAGUCCCGCAACGAGCGCAACCCUUAUCCUUUGUUGCCAGCGGUUAGGCCGGGAACUCAAAGGAGACUGCCAGUGAUAAACUGGAGGAAGGUGGGGAUGACGUCAAGUCAUCAUGGCCCUUACGAGUAGGGCUACACACGUGCUACAAUGGCAUAUACAAAGGGAAGCGACCCCGCGAGGGCAAGCGGAACUCAUAAAGUACGUCGUAGUCCGGAUUGGAGUCUGCAACUCGACUCCAUGAAGUCGGAAUCGCUAGUAAUCGUAGAUCAGAAUGCUACGGUGAAUACGUUCCCGGGCCUUGUACACACCGCCCGUCACACCAUGGGAGUGGGUUGCAAAAGAAGUAGGUAGCUUAACCUCCGGGAGGGCGCUUACCACUUUGUGAUUCAUGACUGGGGUGAAGUCGUAACAAGGUAACCA